This 20-nucleotide microRNA is filed under the name Echinococcus granulosus. RNAcentral describes it as "egr-miR-10266-5p". The record is from miRBase by way of RNAcentral. Lineage: Eukaryota; Metazoa; Platyhelminthes; Cestoda; Cyclophyllidea; Taeniidae.
CCUCCUUCCUGCUUUUUUUC